RNAcentral lists this ribosomal RNA (925 nucleotides) under uncultured bacterium. RNAcentral describes it as "bacterial SSU rRNA". It matches the Rfam family "Bacterial small subunit ribosomal RNA", at positions 1 to 927 of the family's 1533-position model. The record is from RNAcentral.
CUUAGGAGUUUGAUCCUGGCUCAGGAUGAACGCUAGCGGCGUGCUUAACACAUGCAAGUCGAACGAGAAUCUACUGAAAGAGUUUUCGGACAAUGGAUGUAGAGGAAAGUGGCGGACGGGUGAGUAACGCGUGAGGAACCUGCCUUGAAGAGGGGGACAACAGUUGGAAACGACUGCUAAUACCGCAUGACGCAUAGGGGUCGCAUGAUCUUUAUGCCAAAGAUUUAUCGCUUCAAGAUGGCCUCGCGUCUGAUUAGCUGGUUGGCGGGGUAACGGCCCACCAGGGCGACGAUCAGUAGCCGGACUGAGAGGUUGAACGGCCACAUUGGGACUGAGAUACGGCCCAGACUCCUACGGGAGGCUGCAGUGGGGAAUAUUGGGCAAUGGGCGCAAGCCUGACCCAGCAACGCCGCGUGAAGGAAGAAGGCUUUCGGGUUGUAAACUUCUUUUAAGAGGGAAGAGGAGAAGACGGUACCUCUAGAAUAAGCCACGGCUAACUACGUGCCAGCAGCCGCGGUAAUACGUAGGUGGCAAGCGUUGUCCGGAUUUACUGGGUGUAAAGGGCGUGCAGCCGGGUCUGCAAGUCAGAUGUGAAAUCCAUGGGCUCAACCCAUGAACUGCAUUUGAAACUGUAGAUCUUGAGUGUCGGAGGGGCAAUCGGAAUUCCUAGUGUAGCGGUGAAAUGCGUAGAUAUUAGGAGGAACACCAGUGGCGAAGGCGGAUUGCUGGACGAUAACUGACGGUGAGGCGCGAAAGUGUGGGGAGCAAACAGGAUUAGAUACCCUGGUAGUCCACACUGUAAACGAUGAAUACUAGGUGUGCGGGGACUGACCCCCUGCGUGCCGCAGUAAACACAAUAAGUAUUCCACCUGGGGAGUACGAUCGCAAGGUUGAAACUCAAAGGAAUUGACGGAAGGGCUGAAUU